Molecule: long non-coding RNA, 1211 nt
Filed under: Mus musculus (house mouse)
Lineage: Eukaryota; Metazoa; Chordata; Mammalia; Rodentia; Muridae
Description: long non-coding RNA chr2:104638368-104639579
Source: RNAcentral
ACUUUCUUCUAGCCUCUAAGGGUACUGCAUGCAUGUGGUGCAUAGACAUGCAUGCCACUAAUACCUAUACACAUAAAAUUUCCCUUCAAAUUUUUAUAAUAAGCUGGGCAGUGGUGGUGCACACCUUUAAUCCCAGCACUGGGGAGGCAGAGGCAAGCGGAUUUCUGAGUUCAAGGACAGCCUGGUCUACAGAGUAAGUUCCAGGACAGCCAGGCCUACACAGAGAAACCCUGUCUCAAAAAAAAAAAAAAAAACAAAAAAAAAAAAACCCAAAAACAAAACAAUAACAAAAAAAGAAAUUAUGAUGGGAAUUUGGCACAGUUAGAAAAGUGCUUGCCUUGCAAGCAUAAUAAGAAUCUGAGUUUAAAAGCAAGAGAAAUGGCUCAGGGUUAAGAGCAUAUAUUGGUUCUUGUGAGUUUGAUUUCCAGCACCCACAUUAAGCAGCUCACAACUAGAAUUCCAGUUUUAGGGAACCAACACCUCUCUGACUUCCUUGGUCACAUAGAAACACAUAUAUUCACAUUAAAAUAUAUGCUUCUGAGUUUAAAUCCUUAGAGGCCACAUAAAACUUGAGUACAUCAUAUCUGGAAUCUUAGGCAGAGACAGGUGAUAGAUCCCUGGCGCUCAUUAACAGCUAGCCUAGUCCAGUCAGCAAACUUCAGGAACAGUGAGGUCCUGCUUCAAAACCAGGACAGAGGGGCAAUGAGAUUGUUUAGCAGGUAAGAGAGUGCUUUGCUCAUGAAGCCUGAUGAUCCAGGUUUCAUCCCUAGGACACACAUGGUAGGAGAGGAAAGACUCCACAAGUCUUUGGCACAUGUACAUGCAUACACACAUGCAUGCAUACACACACAUGGACACGGACAUGGACACACGGGCUCUUAUAAACAAAGAAAUAACGAGAUUAUAUCGCAGUAUUUUUAUCAAGGUUGGCUUACUCAGUAUUUACUUGUUGAAUUAAUGACUGACAAUCAGUGACCAUGUACUAAGUGCCAGAAAUUUAACUUUACAUUUGUCAAAAAUUUCAUUUUCUGCUGUAUUUGUUAUGCUAAUACCAAUUAAAGAAAUAAUGAGCCUGGUGGUGGUGCACACCUUUAAUCUUAGUGCUCAGGAGGCAGAGGCAGGUAGAUCUUUGAGUUCCUUAGAACUCAGCCUGGUCUACAGAUGGAGGACCAGGAUAGCCAGGGUUACACAGAGAAACCUUUCAAGAGGGG